This 669-nucleotide ribosomal RNA is filed under the name uncultured fungus. Its description in RNAcentral is "eukaryotic LSU rRNA". The stretch from base 253 to 406 matches the Rfam family "5.8S ribosomal RNA". The record is from RNAcentral. Lineage: Eukaryota; Fungi.
AAGGAUCAUUAUUGAAUAAGUUUGGUUGGGUUGUUGCUGGCUCUUUUUGGGCAUGUGCACACCUAACACCAACCUUUUUAACCACCUGUGCACCCUUUGUAGACCUGGAUAUCUUUCGAGGAAACUCGGUAUGAGGAUUGCCGUGUAUCAAAGCCGGCUUUCCUUACAUUUCCGGUCUAUGUAAUUUAUAUACACCAUUAGUAUGUCUAUGAAUGUUCAUUGUCGGACUUUAUUGUCCAAUAAACUUAAUACAACUUUCAACAACGGAUCUCUUGGCUCUCGCAUCGAUGAAGAACGCAGCGAAAUGCGAUAAGUAAUGUGAAUUGCAGAAUUCAGUGAAUCAUCGAAUCUUUGAACGCACCUUGCGCUCCUUGGUAUUCCGAGGAGUAUGCCUGUUUGAGUGUCAUGAAAUUCCUCAACCUUUUCAACUUUUCCCCAAAAGUUUGAUCAGGCUUGGAUGUGGGAGUUUUUGCUGGCUUUUACCAUAAAGUCGGCUCUCCUUAAAUUUAUUAGUAGGACUUCUGUUGCCUCCAUUUUGGUGUGAUAAUUAUCUACGCCACCGUGGGAAGCAGCGUUUAGUGUGGAGUCUACUGCUUUCUAAUAGUCUCCGACGAGACAAUUUAUGACAAUUUGACCUCAAAUCCGGUAGGACUGGCUCGCUGAACGGAA